RNAcentral lists this ribosomal RNA (460 nucleotides) under uncultured bacterium. RNAcentral describes it as "SSU rRNA". It matches the Rfam family "Bacterial small subunit ribosomal RNA", at positions 26 to 518 of the family's 1533-position model. The record is from RNAcentral.
AGAAUCAACGCUGGCGGCGUGCCUAACACAUGCAAGUCGAACGAGAAAGGGGUUUCGGCCCUGAGUAAAGUGGCGCACGGGUGAGUAACACGUGACUAACCUACCCUUGAGUGGGGAAUAACUUCGAGAAAUCGAGGCUAAUUCCGCAUAAUACCUACGGGUCAAAGGAGCAAUUCGCUUAAGGAGGGGGUCGCGGCAGAUUAGCUAGUUGGCGGGGUAAUGGCCCACCAAGGCAGUGAUCUGUAUCCGGCCUGAGAGGGCGCACGGACACACUGGAACUGAAACACGGUCCAGACUCCUACGGGAGGCAGCAGUGGGGAAUUUUGCGCAAUGGGGGAAACCCUGACGCAGCAACGCCGCGUGGAGGAUGAAGUCUCUUGGGACGUAAACUCCUUUCGACCGGGACGAUAAUGACGGUACCGGAAGAAGAAGCCCCGGCUAACUUCGUGCCAGCAGCCGC